UGCUUUAUGCUAAUCUAUAUAAAGUAAAUAUCCUGCCCAAUGUAUCUAUAAACGGCCGCGGUAUCCUAACCGUGCAAAGGUAGCAUAAUAAUUUGCCCAUUAAUUGUGGGCUAGAAUGAACGGAAUAACGAAAUAAGAACUAUUUCAAUAAUACAACAAUAAACUAUUCUAAAAGUGAAGAAACUUUUAUAUCAAUAACGGACAAGAAGACCCUAUAGAGCUUUAUCUUAACUAAUACUUUAUUACAACAGAUUCGGUUGGGGCGACCUAGGAUAAAUCAUCCUUUUUCAUAAAGACUUAUUAAUCUACUCUAUGAUCCUAAUAUAGAUCAAGAAAUCAAGCUACCUUAGGGAUAACAGGCUAAUUUCAUUAUAGAGCUCCUAUCAACAAUGAAGAUUGGCACCUCGAUGUUGGCUUAGGUAAUUCUUUUUGGCGCAGAUGUCACCAAAGAAGGUU
Molecule: ribosomal RNA, 456 nt
Filed under: Grania trichaeta
Lineage: Eukaryota; Metazoa; Annelida; Clitellata; Enchytraeida; Enchytraeidae
Description: partial 16S ribosomal RNA
Rfam family: Bacterial large subunit ribosomal RNA
Source: RNAcentral